This 116-nucleotide ribosomal RNA is filed under the name Pteropus alecto (black flying fox). The record is from RNAcentral. Lineage: Eukaryota; Metazoa; Chordata; Mammalia; Chiroptera; Pteropodidae.
GUCUAUGGCCAUGCCACCCUGAACAAGCCCGAUGUCUGAUCUCAGAAGCGAAGCAGGGUCAGGCCUGGUUAAUACUUGGAUGGGAGACCACCUAGGAAGACCAGGUGCUGUAGGCA